RNAcentral lists this long non-coding RNA (1689 nucleotides) under Homo sapiens (human). RNAcentral describes it as "HSALNT0309680". The record is from RNAcentral. Lineage: Eukaryota; Metazoa; Chordata; Mammalia; Primates; Hominidae.
CAAAUCCUAUGUCAUGAAGAUUUUCCCCUAUGUUUUUCUCUAAGAGUUCAAGAGGUCCUUGGUUAAGGACCUAUGGGGUCCUAAGGAACUAUGGGGAAUACUGGGUUAAAUAUAACUUAAAAGACUCUUUACUGUCCUUCUUCUCAGCCUUAUUAAUGUACAUGUUAGAGCAUUGGAAAUAUUAGAGAGGGGUCUAUAUUACCAACUGAUUACAGGGCCACAGAGGAGAGGGAUGAUAAAUCAGUGCUCCAUGAAAUUUCAGCCCAAGAAGCACUGCACCAUGUUGCCCUCUGGAUCAUUCUUACAUUAAAACUGUACAACCUUAAGAGGAAGCUGCUAUUGUUAUCUCUCAUUGAUGAAGAGGGAGCUGAGUCUUCUAGAUAUUAGUGAUUUGCUCACUCUCACCACUAAGUACAGUAGCCUGGCUCCAAAGUCCAAGGCCCUAAACUCUAUUCCUGCAGAUUCUCCUCUCUCACCUCAGUGUAGGGCUUCUGGCUAUUCUUCUCCCAAGACCACUAAUCAGGACCCGCUGGUGGUCCCAAGGAGCAGGCUGAGCCUCCUAUCUCCUUACAGAUCUUGUCUCCUUUAUAGUCCAUCUCUGGAUACCACUUUGCUCCACCAAACUGACUGCAGAAAGGAAAGCAGACUCCCUAUCCACUAAAGAGAAAUGAACAAAAGUCUACUUUGUACUAAGGCUUUAUUGUCGUCAACAGCUGAUGUCAGUGAAACAUUUACUAUGAACCUGGCACAGUGCUAAGCCCCAUGGGUUAUGACAUCUGCAGUUCUGCUGUGAGUUCCAGUUUGGACAUGUAGCCCAGUGACUCCUGCAUUACAACGACAGGCAGAAAGUUACCCAGAAAGCUUGUUGCUGUGAGCUUCAGAGCACACGCUUUUGUUACAGACACUCGGUGGAAAGAUGAUGUCCAGUGUUGUUACCCACGAGAUACCAAAGUGAGCAAAUUAUAUGGAAAUUGAAGAAUAGAAGUAUUCAAAGGUUUGGGUGAUUGGAUACUUAGUUUUCAUUCAAACCUUGUAGAACUGCCCGGUGUCUCUAAAUUCUGUGCAUGUGACAUAUUACCAGAAUUCAAAUUAAUUCUUGAAGUGAAUUGGAAGAGAAGAGGAUUUAGAAGAAGGUUCUGACCGGUCAAAGCCAGACGCUGCCAUGUGGAAACAUGGGCCUUGGAUAGACAAAGACAAGCCAAAAAUUCUGAUUUACACAUGAAACAUCAUGAUUUUUAAAUGGUGGCCAAUAAUUCAACAGAGACUUUAAAAGAACGUGAAGGCCACAAACAAACAUCCCAGGUCUGCGGGCCAUAUGCCCCUCAGGGUGCCAGGGUAACGCCUCUAAUAGUCAUGCUGAGACAACAUCCACAUUAGUUUCCUGGGGCUGCUGCAACAAAUUACCACAAACUUGGUGGCCGAAAAUAACACAGAUCGAAUCACUUGUUCUGCUGGCCCAAAGUCCAAAACUAGUUUUGUCAGAGGCAUUGAACCAGAACGACUCCAUCUUGAAGAGGGGCUGGGUGAAAUGAGGCUGAGAUCCGCUUGAGGCUGAGAUCUGUUCUGCCGCACUCCCAGGAAGUUAGGGAUUCUUAGCCACAGGAUGUUUAUGGUUAAGGGAACAAGUUAAUAAUGUUUACGCAGCCGACCCAGGACUUCACAGACCCAGGAACUGCCCCAAUGGCCCGA